UACGUAGGGGGCAAGCGUUGUCCGGAUUUAUUGGGCGUAAAGAGCGUGUAGGCGGCCAAGCAGGUCCGCUGUGAAAACUCGAGGCUCAACCUCGAGACGUCGGUGGAAACCGUUUGGCUAGAGUCCGGAAGAGGAGAGUGGAAUUCCCGGUGUAGCGGUGAAAUGCGCAGAUAUCGGGAAGAACACCAGUGGCGAAGGCGGCGUCCUGGCCUGCGACUGACGCUGUGGCGCGAAAGCUAGGGGAGCAAACGGG
Molecule: ribosomal RNA, 253 nt
Filed under: uncultured bacterium
Lineage: Bacteria
Description: partial 16S ribosomal RNA
Rfam family: Bacterial small subunit ribosomal RNA
Source: RNAcentral